Molecule: ribosomal RNA, 301 nt
Filed under: uncultured bacterium
Lineage: Bacteria
Description: partial 16S ribosomal RNA
Rfam family: Bacterial small subunit ribosomal RNA
Source: RNAcentral
CAGUAGCCACGGUAAUACGUAGGGUGCGAGCGUUGUCCGGAAUUACUGGGCGUAAAGAGCUCGUAGGUGGUCUGUCGCGUCAUUUGUGAAAGCCCGGGGCUUAACUCCGGGUUGGCAGGUGAUACGGGCACGACUGGAGUACUGUAGGGGAGACUGGAAUUCCUGGUGUAGCGGUGAAAUGCGCAGAUAUCAGGAGGAACACCGGUGGCGAAGGCGGGUCUCUGGGCAGUAACUGACGCUGAGGAGCGAAAGCGUGGGGAGUGAACAGGAUUAGAUACCCCUGUAGUCCCUGUCUCUUAUA